AUGCUCUACGUGCUCGACGACAUGCAUCUGAGUGUGCUAGCUCUCGACGUUGACAGUGAGACGAUAAGCUCCGUCCAGCUCCCCGCGGCCUAUGGAAGUACGGGGGCGCCUCUGCGUCGCGAUGCACAUGGACGAAAGCCACGAGUUCGUGCUCUGGCUGCUCACGGCAAGCCUCGAUUGGGAGCGCCGGUGCGUGCUGCGUUACUUGGCACCGACGACUUUGAGGUCCCACUGGUUGGUAGGAGCGUGGGACUCUAG
This 258-nucleotide ribosomal RNA is filed under the name Triticum aestivum (bread wheat). Its description in RNAcentral is "partial small subunit ribosomal RNA". Lineage: Eukaryota; Viridiplantae; Streptophyta; Magnoliopsida; Poales; Poaceae. The record is from RNAcentral.